This 505-nucleotide long non-coding RNA is filed under the name Hordeum vulgare. RNAcentral describes it as "long non-coding RNA (HVUL_LNC016823)". Lineage: Eukaryota; Viridiplantae; Streptophyta; Magnoliopsida; Poales; Poaceae. The record is from RNAcentral.
AACAACCGAGCUUUGUCUAGCUGAAUUUUAGAGCUGUUCCUUUUCAGGUACAGUACUAGGUUUAUUCCUAAGUUGGAAGGAUGUACCGUUGGCCGAGGUUUCUGCCGAUGAUUUCUCAUACAAUUUACUCUUUCAUUUUCAGGGUCAUCUUCGAGGAACCUUUCAGCUUGUAGCCCUCAGCGAUCUCUGGAAGAAGAUGGGGCGUAAUGGUGUCAAGAAGAGCAUCUGGCACUUCCUCUGUGGCUGCUCCUCGCCUAAGACCAGCAAAUGAUUAAGAGCGAAAUGCAUGACACAGCGAGAGGUUAAGUGUCUAAGGGUUCUCAAUAGGUUGAAUUUAAAAAGUGGUUGUAAAGUUGUGAUUAGAUACUGCUAAGUUAUUUGGUUGAAUUGGUUUGUAAUCUUGUGGUUGUGUUGGGCCAGCUUCCUCUGCAGCAAGGAACAUGUAAACGAGGAAUGUCUUGUAACCAUAUUCGGAAAUAAAUCUCGCAUAUAUGUGUCAUACUCU